Molecule: long non-coding RNA, 1297 nt
Filed under: Falco tinnunculus (common kestrel)
Lineage: Eukaryota; Metazoa; Chordata; Aves; Falconiformes; Falconidae
Description: lncRNA (ENSFTIG00000016080.1)
Source: RNAcentral
UUAGUUUUAAAGAAAACUAGAUUGAGACAUGAAUUUCUUCUGAAAUUACAUGGAAUGGUAUUACCUUCUGUGAUUUGAGAGCAGAAAUCAAGUCUGCCUGGAUUUGUCAGUACGUAAAAAACAAAAGAACUGAAAUUUGACUUUUGAAAAAUUAGAAAGAAUUAGAUGAAAGUUAAAUGAAAACCAAGAUAAAGGUGGAAGUUAAAAAAUGAAUAAAGGCUGAGUUGUUGGGUUUUUUUUAGACCUUACAAUUUCCUUACUUUUUAUUUUAAAAUGAAACAGUAAACCAUUGGCUUAGCUAAUAUUUUUCAUUUUUUGUCCAACAGGGAAAUAGAGGUCCUCCUGGGGUGCCAGGUUUGAUGGGAAAUUCUGGUAAACAGGUAAGGUCGUUAAUCUUAAGCAAAAGAUCUAGAAAAAUGAAAAAUUUUGCAUUGUGCAAAAAAUCACUUUUCAGAUUUAUUGUGUUCUUCCUAUCCCCAAAACAGGGUGAACGGGGCCCAGAGGGAGAAGUGGGUCCAACAGGACCUCGUGGACCACCAGGUAGCAGAGGGGAGCCAGGUCCUGCAGGUCCUCCAGGUUUACCAGGGAAAUGGGGUCCCCAGGGUGAUAUUGGACUUCCUGGACUGCCAGGUCCUCCAGGCCUACCUGGUAGUAAGGGUGACCGGGGUUCGGUGGGUGAACCAGGACCUAAGGGUGAACAAGUAAGUUUUGUUAGAGAUCACGGUACUUUCAAGUCACACUACCAAAUGCUGCAGUACAUUACAUUGACCAAAUCUGAAGGCUGACAGUAUGUCUUUUUUUGAUGUAGGGUGCACCUGGAGCAGAAGGAGAUGGAGGAGAAAAGGGUGACUUAGUAAGACAUUAUUUUCUCUUUACCUGAUCUAAUAUUUUGUUGUCAUAAAUUAAAACUUUAAAGUAUUGUUGGAGUGCUUCAAGCAUACGUUUUGAUCAUUGAAAGUCACAUUUCAGUUUUAUACUAACUAGGUAUUGCAAAGCACAGAAGUUCUGUUAGCUCAUGUCAUUAGUUCAUGUCAUUCCUGCUGUUUUGAAAGCACUCUGAAAUACUCCUGUUCUCUUAGGUGUUUAAUACAGUACGGGCUGCCUUGAAGGGUGUGCGUGUGUAUGUGUAUAUAGAUACAUAUGUAGGCAUACACUAAGCGUUUAAAUAUAUAUAUGCAUACACAUAAAUUCUGGGUGUUUGAGGCAGUGAGGCUGAGAGGGCAGUUUAAUUCAGGUGAAACAGGAACACUGACAAUAAAUAUCCUUAGAAAUCAGAUAUGAUGGAAAUAUUUUGUAU